RNAcentral lists this ribosomal RNA (1078 nucleotides) under uncultured eukaryote. RNAcentral's name for it is "bacterial SSU rRNA". It matches the Rfam family "Eukaryotic small subunit ribosomal RNA", at positions 577 to 1686 of the family's 1831-position model. The record is from RNAcentral.
CGGUAAUUCCAGCUCCAAUAGCGUAUAUUAAAGUUGUUGCAGUUAAAAAGCUCGUAGUUGGAUGUCUGGCCUCGUUGGGUGGUCCGCCGCAAGGUGAGUACUGCCUGGUGGGGUCUUCCUCUCGAAUGCCGCGUGUGCUCUUAACUGAGUGUGCGUGGGGUUUGGGAUCUUUACUUUGAAAAAAUUAGAGUGUUCAAAGCAGGCGAUUGCUUGAAUAUAUUAGCAUGGAAUAAUGGAAUAGGACCUGGGUUCUAUUUUGUUGGUUUCUAGGACCGAGGUAAUGAUUAAUAGGGAUAGUUGGGGGCAUUCGUAUUUAAUUGUCAGAGGUGAAAUUCUUGGAUUUAUGAAAGACGAACUUCUGCGAAAGCAUUUGCCAAGGAUGUUUUCAUUAAUCAAGAACGAAAGUUAGGGGAUCGAAGACGAUCAGAUACCGUCGUAGUCUUAACCAUAAACUAUGCCGACUAGGGAUGGGUGGACGUCUUUCAUGACUUCAUCCGCACCUUAUGAGAAAUCAAAGUUUUUGGGUUCCGGGGGGAGUAUGGUCGCAAGGCUGAAACUUAAAGGAAUUGACGGAAGGGCACCACCAGGAGUGGAGCCUGCGGCUUAAUUUGACUCAACACGGGAAAACUCACCAGGUCCAGACAUAGUAAGGAUUGACAGAUUGAGAGCUCUUUCUUGAUUCUAGGGGUGGCGGGGCAUGUCCGUUCUUAGGGGGUGGAGUGUUUGGUUAGGUUAAUUCCGUUACCGAACGAGACCUUAACCUAUUAACUAGUCACGCGAUUGUCAAAUCGUGGGUGACUUAUUAGAGGGACUAUCGCCGUUCAGUCGAUGGAAGUGCGAGGCCAUAUCAGGUCUGUCAUGCCAUUAGAUGUUCUGCGCCCCACGCGCGCUACACUGGUGACGUGCAUCGAGUCUCCUCGCAUCGGAAGGUCUGGGCAAUCUUCUGUACUGUCGUCGUGCUUGGGAUAGAUCUUUGUAAUUUUCGAUCUUCAAGCGAGGAAUUCCUAGUAGACGCGACUACAUCAGAUCGCGUCGAUUCCGUCCCUGCCCCCACUACACACCACCCAAGAGGUGAAUC